AUUGAACGCUGGCGGCAUGCUUUACACAUGCAAGUCGAACGGCAGCGCGGGCUUCGGCCUGGCGGCGAGUGGCGAACGGGUGAGUAAUGCAUCGGAACGUGCCCAGUAGUGGUGGAUAGCCCGGCGAAGGCCGGAUUAAUACCGCAUACGACCUGAGGGUGAAAGCGGGGGACCGAAAGGCCUCGCGCUAUUGGAGCGGCCGAUGUCGGAUUAGCUAGUUGGUGGGGUAAAGGCUUACCAAGGCGACGAUCCGUAGCUGGUCUGAGAGGACGACCAGCCACACUGGAACUGAGACACGGCCCAGACUCCUACGGGAGGCAGCAGUGGGGAAUUUUGGACAAUGGGGGCAACCCUGAUCCAGCCAUGCCGCGUGCGGGAAGAAGGCCUUCGGGUUGUAAACCGCUUUUGUUCGGGAAGAAAUCCUCUGGGCUAAUACCCCGGGGGGAUGACGGUACCGGAAGAAUAAGCACCGGCUAACUACGUG
Molecule: ribosomal RNA, 484 nt
Filed under: uncultured bacterium
Lineage: Bacteria
Description: partial 16S ribosomal RNA
Rfam family: Bacterial small subunit ribosomal RNA
Source: RNAcentral